ACAGCUGGGGUCCCUGUCCUCUAUGAUCUGAAGACACACCAGCCCAUCCUUCUUCCUCCCCAGAUGGCUGGACUACAUCUGCUUUGAGGAUCAAGCAGGAGACAGAGAUAAGCUGCCACUUCCCCAAAUACAGAGUUGUACACUGUACGUCUUGAGAAUCAGACCUCCCACUGGCGGGAGCGCUUGCCCUUAACUGAUACGUCAAGGAAUCAAACCAGGUUAUUUUUGUUCAUGAGAUGGUGAAAUACACUGAAAGUAGUGAGGGGGGGAAAGGCGUGAGAGAGAAAACGCCCGCUGCUUCCACUGGGAUCCUUGCUGGCUGUUCCUGAGUUUUCCAUGGAAAGCACUUAGAUACUCAGAACAAAGGAUACUUGCUGGUGCACGGGGCAUGUUGAAAUACCUGGGAAAUUAACCCCUGGGAGCAGCACUCAACCGAUGAUGCAUAGAAACUGGCGGGUAAAAGUUCAGCUCUCUCACCCCUUGAGAGGAGUAACUCUAAGUGGGAUUUUGAAAUUGAAGAUGGGAUUAUUUUCACCUGUGGAUCAACUUGGUGUAGAACGAAGAUGGCAUGUACAGAAGCAGGAAUCCAGAGGCUGAGGUGAGCAUCCAUUCUUUUAUUCAUCCAUCUGUCCAUCCAUCCAUCCAUCUAUCCAUCCAUCAUCAUCCAUCAUCCAUCAUCCAUCCAUCCGUCUAUCCA
This is a long non-coding RNA of Leopardus geoffroyi (Geoffroy's cat), 697 nucleotides long. RefSeq lists it as uncharacterized. Lineage: Eukaryota; Metazoa; Chordata; Mammalia; Carnivora; Felidae. The record is from RefSeq and is a predicted model, not a curated record. The transcript has 4 exons.